UACGGAGGGUGCAAGCGUUAUCCGGAUUCACUGGGUUAAAGGGUGCGUAGGUGGGCAGGUAAGUCCGUGGUGAAAUCUCUGAGCUUAACUCAAGAAACUGCCGUGGAUACUAUUUGUCUUGAAUGUUGUGGAGGUGAGCGGAAUAUGUCAUGUAGCGGAUGAAAUGCUUAGAUAUGACAUAGAACACCAAUUGCGAAGGCAGCUCACUACACAAUUAUUGACGCUGAGGCACGAAAGCGUGGGGAUCAAACAGG
This 254-nucleotide ribosomal RNA is filed under the name uncultured bacterium. Its description in RNAcentral is "partial 16S ribosomal RNA". It matches the Rfam family "Bacterial small subunit ribosomal RNA", at positions 524 to 776 of the family's 1533-position model. The record is from RNAcentral.